This 403-nucleotide ribosomal RNA is filed under the name bacterium. RNAcentral describes it as "partial 16S ribosomal RNA". It matches the Rfam family "Bacterial small subunit ribosomal RNA", at positions 355 to 776 of the family's 1533-position model. The record is from RNAcentral.
UGGGGAAUAUUGCACAAUGGGGGAAACCCUGAUGCAGCGACGCCGCGUGAACGAAGAAGGUAUUCGUAUCGUAAAGUUCUGUCCUAUGGGAAGAUAAUGACAGUACCAUAGAAGAAAGCUCCGGCUAAAUACGUGCCAGCAGCCGCGGUAAUACGUAUGGAGCGGGCGUUGUCCGGAAUUAUUGGGCGUAAAGGGUACGCAGGCGGUUUAAUAAGUCGAAUGUUAAAGAUCGGGGCUCAACCCCGCAAAGCAUUGGAAACUGAUAAACUUGAGUAGUGGAGAGGAAAGUGGAAUUCCUAGUGUAGUGGUGAAAUACGUAGAUAUUAGGAGGAAUACCAGUAGCGAAGGCGACUUUCUGGACACAAACUGACGCUGAGGUACGAAAGCGUGGGGAGCAAACAGG